This 7133-nucleotide long non-coding RNA is filed under the name Olea europaea (common olive). RNAcentral's name for it is "long non-coding RNA (OEUR_LNC006897)". Lineage: Eukaryota; Viridiplantae; Streptophyta; Magnoliopsida; Lamiales; Oleaceae. The record is from RNAcentral.
UGUUUUGGCAUUUUUUCCCCCUUUUCUUUUGCUUCUGAUUCUUGUUUUGUUAUUAUAAUCAUUCAAAGCUGUGUAAUUAAUAUUCUGCAGCUACACCACCGUCGGUCUUGAAUGCACAUAAAGAUUAAACAAUUUAUUUAUUUGUUUUUAUUUAUUAUUAUUAUUAUUAUUUUAAAUUUAGUGUUAGUGUUACAACUUUUUUUGUUCCUACUGUGUUUCUCUCUCAGGUUUGCUUAGAUGCAGUAAGAGUUGCAGGCUGAGAUGGACUAAUUAUCUCAGGCCCGGAAUCAAACGUGGUAACUUCACUGAACAUGAGGAGAAGAUGAUUAUCCACCUUCAAGCGCUUCUUGGCAACCGGUAUGUAUAUAGAAAUCUUGUUUCGUUAUGAAUACACACACUAAUAUGAGGCCAUGCAAGAUCUUGUUUUUCUUGAAUUAGGGUUUGAUCUAACUGUAGUCCCAAAUGCCAAAACAAGAUUUUUUAAGCUUUUAUGGGAUGGCUGAGAAUCUGGAUUCAUUAGAAUGGAAAAAUCUUGUUUAUUAUACUGUUCAUGGAACAGAAAAUAUUAUAGGGAUCUCAAUAGUGGUAUGCUAAUUUGUUUUAUGGUGCAGAUGGGCUGCCAUAGCUUCAUACCUUCCGCAACGAACCGACAAUGAUAUUAAGAACUUUUGGAACACUCAUUUGAAAAAGAAGCUGAAGAAACAACAAGGGAAUGAUGAACAAAAUCAAGAAGGGAGUUCAGAUUCUCAAUCAAUUCCAAAAGGCCAGUGGGAGAGAAGGCUCCAAACAGAUAUUCACAUGGCAAAACAAGCCCUAUGUGAAGCCUUGUCCUUAGACAAAUGGAACACAAAUUUGCUUGAUUCAAAGCCCUUUCCAGUAACCCUUUCAGAAACUAAACCAAUUCAGACAUCAACAUAUGCUUCGAGUACUGAAAACAUUGCGCGUUUGCUUCAGAACUGGACGAAAAAAUCACCAAAUUCCUCUCAAGCUGGUUCAUCACAGAGUACUACUCAGACUUCCUUCAACAACCCUUCAAUAGGGACAAGUUCCAGUCCUAGUGAAGGGACAAUUAGUGCCACAACACCUGAGGGAUUCGACUCAUUUAUGGGCUUCAGUUCUUCCAACUCCGAUGUUUCUCAAUCUGAGGGCGAACCCAAGGUCAAUGCUGCAAAUUUCAUUCCAGAAGCUGGGACUUUGCAGGGGGAGAGCAAGAUAAAUUUGGACAUUCAAAUGCCCCUAACUUUGCUGGAAAACUGGCUCUUUGAUGAUGCUUCUGCACAAGGAGGGGGAGGAUACAUAAUGGACAUGUCUUUGGGGGAAAAUGCUGAUUUGUUUUGAAAAAAGUUUUUCUUCAAAACAAAGUAGCAGUUUCAGGUUGAUCUUUUUGUCUUUUUGGUGGGUUUUUAGGCAGAAGUGUCCUAAUCAGUGUCUGCUCCAUCUAGAUCGAGCACAAAAGGAUGGAAUCUUCCAUAUAUUGGGAGAGCAUAAAGUGUAAAUGACUGAUCAUGUAUUGCAAUGUUUGGUAUGUAGUAUUAGAUAGAACUGGAUAGUAAAAAAAAUUGAUUUUAACUUCAUUUUAUUUGUUACUACUUUCCAGUACUAUGUAAUCCUCCGUACCAAACAUGUCAUACUAGUAGUGUAUAUGCACAUAUGCAUGGUUAAUUAAAUAGGAAUAAAUCUCUCUUGAUCUAUCUCCUUAGAACAACUGUUUGUACUCUGUGCACCAUUUGGUGUUUAUUAUGAGAAAUGAUAAUUAUGGUUUGAGUUAUGAUGCUUCCGAAUUUACUAAUGGUCUGUUCGGUAAUGAUUAUGAGAAUUGAUUUUUUGACUGUUAAAGAUAAAGUGGGUUUUACCUGUAAAUGAAGAAGUAAAAAAUGAUGACUGAAAUAGUGAAAUAACAUUCAAAAAAUUAAUUUUUUUGGCAUAUAAAAUUGCUAACAAAUGGGGCUAAAUAAAACUACAUUUUGUAUGUGGCAUAUAAUCCUGACCGUGAAAUGAAAUUUUUGGGGGAAAAAAAAAAAAACAACAACAACCAGUUUUUAUCACAGUCCUUUAAAAAAUUUCAAUUCUAAACACACUCAUUUUUUGUCUUCCCUCGGACGUAGGCCAAGUGCCGAACCUUCUAAGUUCUUUACUUUCUUCUCUUUUACAUUUUGCCUAAAAUCCUAAUCUGCAGCAGCAAGUCGUGUUAUGAUUUCAGAACCGAUAAAGUUGCAGGCUGAGAUGGACUAAUUAUCUCAGGCCCGGAAUCAAACGUGGUAACUUCACUGAACAUGAGGAGAAGAUGAUUAUCCACCUUCAAGCGCUUCUUGGCAACCGGUAUGUAUAUAGAAAUCUUGUUUCGUUAUGAAUACACACACUAAUAUGAGGCCAUGCAAGAUCUUGUUUUUCUUGAAUUAGGGUUUGAUCUAACUGUAGUCCCAAAUGCCAAAACAAGAUUUUUUAAGCUUUUAUGGGAUGGCUGAGAAUCUGGAUUCAUUAGAAUGGAAAAAUCUUGUUUAUUAUACUGUUCAUGGAACAGAAAAUAUUAUAGGGAUCUCAAUAGUGGUAUGCUAAUUUGUUUUAUGGUGCAGAUGGGCUGCCAUAGCUUCAUACCUUCCGCAACGAACCGACAAUGAUAUUAAGAACUUUUGGAACACUCAUUUGAAAAAGAAGCUGAAGAAACAACAAGGGAAUGAUGAACAAAAUCAAGAAGGGAGUUCAGAUUCUCAAUCAAUUCCAAAAGGCCAGUGGGAGAGAAGGCUCCAAACAGAUAUUCACAUGGCAAAACAAGCCCUAUGUGAAGCCUUGUCCUUAGACAAAUGGAACACAAAUUUGCUUGAUUCAAAGCCCUUUCCAGUAACCCUUUCAGAAACUAAACCAAUUCAGACAUCAACAUAUGCUUCGAGUACUGAAAACAUUGCGCGUUUGCUUCAGAACUGGACGAAAAAAUCACCAAAUUCCUCUCAAGCUGGUUCAUCACAGAGUACUACUCAGACUUCCUUCAACAACCCUUCAAUAGGGACAAGUUCCAGUCCUAGUGAAGGGACAAUUAGUGCCACAACACCUGAGGGAUUCGACUCAUUUAUGGGCUUCAAUUCUUCCAACUCCGAUGUUUCUCAAUCUGAGGGCGAACCCAAGGUCAAUGCUGCAAAUUUCAUUCCAGAAGCUGGGACUGUGCAGGGGGAGAGCAAGAUAAAUUUGGACAUUCAAAUGCCCCUAACUUUGCUGGAAAACUGGCUCUUUGAUGAUGCUUCUGCACAAGGAGGGGGAGGAUACAUAAUGGACAUGUCUUUGGGGGAAAAUGCUGAUUUGUUUUGAAAAAAGUUUUUCUUCAAAACAAAGUAGCAGUUUCAGGUUGAUCUUUUUGUCUUUUUGGUGGGUUUUUAGGCAGAAGUGUCCUAAUCAGUGUCUGCUCCAUCUAGAUCGAGCACAAAAGGAUGGAAUCUUCCAUAUAUUGGGAGAGCAUAAAGUGUAAAUGACUGAUCAUGUACUGCAAUGUUUGGUAUGUAGUAUUAGAUAGAACUGGAUAGUAAAAAAAAAAUGAUUUUAACUUCUUUUUAUUUGUUACUACUUUCCAGUACUAUGUAAUCCUCCGUACCAAACAUGUCAUACUAGUAGUGUAUAUGCACAUAUGCAUGGUUAAUUAAAUAGGAAUAAAUCUCUCUUGAUCUAUCUCCUUAGAACAACUGUUUGUACUCUGUGCACCAUUUGGUGUUUAUUAUGAGAAAUGAUAAUUAUGGUUUGAGUUAUGAUGCUUCCGAAUUUACUAAUGGUCUGUUCGGUAAUGAUUAUGAGAAUUGAUUUUUUGACUGUUAAAGAUAAAGUGGGUUUUACCUGUAAAUGAAGAAGUAAAAAAUGAUGACUGAAAUAGUGAAAUAACAUUCAAAAAAUUAAUUUUUUUGGCAUAUAAAAUUGCUAACAAAUGGGGCUAAAUAAAACUACAUUUUGUAUGUGGCAUAUAAUCCUGACCGUGAANNNGUCCUUUAAAAAAUUUCAAUUCUAAACACACUCAUUUUUUGUCUUCCCUCGGACGUAGGCCAAGUGCCGAACCUUCUAAGUUCUUUACUUUCUUCUCUUUUACAUUUUGCCUAAAAUCCUAAUCUGCAGCAGCAAGUCGUGUUAUGAUUUCAGAACCGAUAAACACAAAUUGAUGGAGCCAUCCUGGGAUUGAAUUCUUCUUAUACAUAAUUAAUAUGAGCUUAUCAAUAUAUAGAGAUAAGACAUAAAUACAUAGAUCAUGUUUUUACUUUUUUAAUAUUUUGAGAUGAUGCAGUUGUCACAUGUGACUUGUUUUAAUCGAACUGUUUCAUUACAAACUUACGGUGGGUAUACAAGAAAUACAACUUUUAGUUUUACAACAAAAUAUUUUACACUUUUGCCAAAUAAAUAAUUUGGCAAUGGGGAAAUACUUUUUAAUGACUCCUCAUCUUCCAGUUUAAUUACACAAGCACAAAGAAAAAGAGUAAUGCUAUACAACCCCAUAUUGGAUAAAGUGAAUAUGGUAUUAAAUAAUAAAUGAAGUUAAAUGGCUCAUUUAGUUUCACCUUUCAUUUAACCCAUCAUCUAGAGCUAGCUAGAUUGGGUUCACAAUUCUAGUGGGGCUAUGUGACAUUACUCUAGAAAAAAAUCAUCUUUGUAUGGCGUAUAAAGUUAUAUAUGCUUAACAAAAUGAUUUGAAACCUCUAAUUUUUAUUUUCCUUCGUAAUGAUGCCUCUAGAUUAUUAUAUUAUUCAAUAAAAAUUGCUAUUUGGAGGGGACGUAAAUGUUAAAACAAAGUAAAUUUCUAGAAGCUUAGUAUAGGUUUGUUGCCUCGAAUGUUUGAAGUCGCUUGAAUUAAAGAACUGCAUCAAAAACUUGGAAAACCUAUCAAUUGUACAUUAAUGACUUGGUGUCUGGACUGAUAUUAUAUGUACUAUUUGCUUUGGGAGAGUAUGAUUCAACUUUAAAUCUCUCGUAAAACAAAAAUUUUGGAUUCAAAUAUUGGGGGACGUGAUAAAAAGUCGUAAGGCAUAAAACGGAAUAUGCUCCGUCAAAUCGAACAAUAUAUAUGAUAUAAUGACUUAGGUCCAAAGGUACUCAAUCGAUAUUAGGAUUUAACUUAAAUCUUCCAUAAGCUAAAGACUUUGAAUUUGAAUAUUGGAGGAUGCGUCAGAAAUUCGUAAAGGAUAAGAAGAUAUAUGUUUUCCCAAAUCGGACAAUACUUAGGACAUAAUGACUUGAACUCAGAAGCCAAGUUGUUACACAUAUUACAACUAUGUAUUAUGAUAAUGUUUGUCUAUCCAGUAUUUCAUUCCAAAAAUAACCUUGUCAAGGUAGAUGUUUACUUUGGUGGGGCUAAGGUAAGUUUUUCGCAUGUUUCUUCAACUCAUGAGUUGGAUCAUUCACUCACAAAACCUCCAUCCACAUCUCACUUUCAAAUAUUACGGUCCAAGUUGGGAGCCACCAAUGAUACUCCUAUCUCGUGGGAGGCAUGUUAGAGAUAAAAUUCUAUACAAUUUAGAUUACUUGUAAUCACAAUCCUUGUGUGUGUGUGUAUUAACUUUUGUAAAUUAGUUGUUGUAGAUUUACUCUACUCAAACGUGAGUCUAGCAAGAUUACUUGUUCUUUGUAAUUGUAUACGUAUAUGAUUGUUCAUAUACAACAUUAUAAAUAUUGCUGACACACUUAGCAAUUUCUAGUUGCUCAAUUAUUUUUAGCUCCAAGUAUUAAUCUUUAAUUAUAUAUACUUUUUAGAAAAAAGUGGUCACGGUUCCAGCUGAGUUUCAAGGAACAAGUUUGAGUUGCAUGUCGAAUCUUCCAAACAAGUAUUCGUUCUUGGACUGAAAUCCAGAACCAGAAUACUGGUCAGCUGACAACGUCAACAUGCUUCCACCCUCGACUACCUUUCCACGCCCGUCACCCCAAGUAAUAUCAGCAUCUCGGUAGAAGUUACCAGCUGUAGGGAUUGUGAAACAGGCCAGGACCACCGAAAGUGAAAGCGUCAAUAAAUUUGCUAAAGCUUUAGAAUUAGAAAUGACUGUUAUUUCGAGAAGAAUAAUUCUCCCUGUCCCGGGUUGGGAGCAGGGUUCUUUCGAGAAGAACACAUAGACUGUGUUUGUUUUUUAUGAGUGAGAGUCGGAUUCUGAAAACCCUUUAUACAUAGAUUUUGCACUCCCCUUUUGAAAACUGUCAACUAAGCUUGACGCCAUGGAUUGAGAGAUGGCCAAGAUUAAUUGUUUCCGCGCAAGGUUUGAGCCUUUAUUAUCUCUGGCAUGGGUCCACCCUCAGAGGUUCUUUUUAUUUUUGUAGGCGGUGCUUGGAUCAAAAUAUACCAACCACGAUUACAUUGUUCAAAAUUAUUGAGUUAUAUACGCAACUUAACCGCAAAUUAUGAUACAAAAUUAAAUCUCGUAUUUGAUUCUUAAAUCUCAUUAUGCAAUAUAAUUAUUAUUUUUUUAAAGAUAAUAAUUUAAUUAGGCAUCAUAUUUUGUAUUUUCAGUGAACCUUCUCGUUUAGAUAAUUAUAAUGCAAGCCACGUUGACAUGUCAAAUUGAUUAGGCUGUCUUUUCAAGUUACGGUUUGGUCCUUAAAUAUUAUUAUUAUUAUUAUUUUAAAUUUAGUGUUAGUGUUACAACUUUUUUUGUUCCUGCUGUGUUUCUCUCUCAGGUUUGCUUAGAUGCAGUAAGAGUUGCAGGCUGAGAUGGACUAAUUAUCUCAGGCCCGGAAUCAAACGUGGUAACUUCACUGAACAUGAGGAGAAGAUGAUUAUCCACCUUCAAGCGCUUCUUGGCAACCGGUAUGUAUAUAGAAAUCUUGUUUCGUUAUGAAUACACACACUAAUAUGAGGCCAUGCAAGAUCUUGUUUUUCUUGAAUUAGGGUUUGAUCUAACUGUAGUCCCAAAUGCCAAAACAAGAUUUUUUAAGCUUUUAUGGGAUGGCUGAGAAUCUGGAUUCAUUAGAAUGGAAAAAUCUUGUUUAUUAUUCUGUUCAUGGCACAGAAAAUAUUAUAGGGAUCUCAAUAGUGGUAUGCUAAUUUGUUUUAUGGUGCAGAUGGGCUGCCAUAGCUUCAUACCUUCCGCAACGAACCGACAAUGAUAUUAAGAACUUUUGGAACACUCAUUUGAAAAAGAAGCUGAAGAAACAACAAGGGAAUGAUGAACAAAAUCAAGAAG